ACGUAGGGGGCGAGCGUUGACCGGAAUCACUGGGCGUAAAGCGCACGUAGGCGGGCUGUUAAGUCGGCCGUGAAAUACACUGGCUCAACCGGGGCAGGUCAGCUGAUACUGGCAAGCUUGAGUCUGGGAGAGGGGGCUAGAAUUCCCGGUGUAGCGGUGAAAUGCGUAGAUAUCUGGAGGAAUACCGGUGGCGAAGGCGGCCUCCUGGACCAAGACUGACGCUCAGGUGCGAAAGCGUGGGGAGCAAACAG
Molecule: ribosomal RNA, 251 nt
Filed under: uncultured prokaryote
Description: partial 16S rRNA
Rfam family: Bacterial small subunit ribosomal RNA
Source: RNAcentral